This 381-nucleotide RNase P RNA is filed under the name Chloroflexota bacterium. RNAcentral's name for it is "RNase P RNA component class A". It matches the Rfam family "Bacterial RNase P class A". Rfam says of the family: Ribonuclease P (RNase P) is a ubiquitous endoribonuclease, found in archaea, bacteria and eukarya as well as chloroplasts and mitochondria. Its best characterised activity is the generation of mature 5'-ends of tRNAs by cleaving the 5'-leader elements of precursor-tRNAs. The record is from RNAcentral. Lineage: Bacteria; Bacillati; Chloroflexota.
CAAGCCAGCAGGGUGAUCGCGUGCGGCUCGACCGUACGAGGAAAGUCCGAGCUCCAUAGAGCAGGGUGCUGGGUAACACCCAGUGGGGGCGACCCCAAGGAAAGUGCCACAGAAACACACCGCCGGCUCCGCCGGUAAGGGUGAAAUGGUGAGGUAAGAGCUCACCGGCAGCCGGGUGAUCGGCUGGACGGGUAAACCCCACCUGGUGCAAGACCGAAUAGGAAGGCAAGUUGUCCUCGUGACAUCCGACGGUUGCUCGCCUGGGCCUUCGGGUAAGGUCGCUUGAGGCGCCGGGUAACCGGCGCGCUAGAUAGAUGAUCAUCACCGCGUGGAUCGCGAGGCCCGCGCGAAACAGAACUCGGCUUACGGCUGGCUUGGACC